Long non-coding RNA from Astatotilapia calliptera (eastern happy), 1261 nucleotides. The record is from Ensembl. Lineage: Eukaryota; Metazoa; Chordata; Actinopteri; Cichliformes; Cichlidae.
GAUCAUUGUUUGAGUAUGGGAUUUCUGAUUAUUUGUGGUCACUGAACGCACCACUGUGCCGUGCGCAUAGCCACUCUCUAGUCCAGCUACAGAGUUUUUCCUUCCGUUCGUCCGAUGAGGCGCAUACUGCUCUCGUGCCCUCUACGAGCUGGAAAUUCGGGAAAAAGUCUUGUAGCGGUUACAAAUGUGAAGCGGAGCUGAGUCCGACAGCAUUCGCCAUUACACGAACUCCUCUGGCUGGUUUGUUUGCCCUUUUGGUGCCCUGGAUCCUACUGGAUGAACUGCCUUGUGGAAGUCCUCAUCUGAUGACUCUGCCGGACCGUCCUGGCAAAUAGAUGGUCGUUGCUGCUUGCUGGAUGCUAUUAUUGGAUGCUACACCGUUCCAACAGAGCGGUAGGAACAAUUCAAAGGGCCCCAACGAUGCGCUUUAUUUUUCCCUGAGCUCAGAGAAACUGUGAUUCUGGGUUAAACAUCGGGGUGAAAUUGAUGACACUGACACCUAGUGAACUGCCCAAGGUCAACAGUCCUGAUUUCCACGCAUUAAAGGUUUGGCAUCCACGCCACAGCCGAAUCAUGACACGUUGGUGAAAAUAAGAAUCUGCAGAUGCAACAUAUGGAACUAUCAGCUGACUGUUAGCAGAGCUAACGAAAUUACCGAAAAGAAUGGAGCACUUUAGCGAACACGUUCUAUGCUGACAACCUGAGCACACAUGUGAAGAUUACGCCACUACAUUCAAUAUCAAAACAAUAUUUAAAGUGUAGUUGGUGACAGAAAAAUUUUAAAACUUUUACUUACAGUUUAGAUCACCACCACCAUUGUUGCUUGUGAAUUGAAAUGAUGUAUUAUUGUAGGGUCUACCUUACAGUAUAAAACACCUUGAGGCAACUGUUGUUGUGAUUUGGCACUAUAUAAAUAAAAUUGAAUUGAAAUGCAUUCUGGGAUACCUGGCUGCCUCAAGUCCACACUACCACCAGUUCAUAGCAAUUAAUUAUCUUGGAACCUUGGUCAAUUAAGGGUUAAACUGUUGUUAAACAUCAGCCGUUCUGCUGUAACAACAAUGCUUUGUGGAAACUAAAGUCAACUAUUGAAGAACACUGUUCACAUCUGGGUUCUUUCUCAUCCAUGGUAAAAGCUGCUGCUCAGACUCUUUGGUUAUUUUUUGACCAAUAUUUGACUUUUUAUGCUCACAUCAAGUCUGUAACCCACUCUAGCUUUUACCAUUUAAGAAAUAUGGCUAAAGUCAGGACUGUUGUCUCCAAA